Long non-coding RNA from Cottoperca gobio, 721 nucleotides. RefSeq lists it as uncharacterized. Lineage: Eukaryota; Metazoa; Chordata; Actinopteri; Perciformes; Bovichtidae. The record is from RefSeq and is a predicted model, not a curated record. The transcript has 3 exons.
CCCACUACAAUGACAGCCGGGAUAAGAAGACAAAACACCUGCCUGUCCAUUUCAUCAAGACUUUAAUAUCACUCACUGGACAAACUAAGAAGUCGUGUGUCUCGCUGAAGGAUUGUGUUCAGACUGAGGAGCAUUGCCUUUUAAAGUUAAUCAGAAAUGUCUACAUCACCUCAGACAAUCGUAAGAGUGGAUGAAAUCGUCCCGCUGAAUACCAUCCCAGGGUCAAGCUACACAUCACAUAAUGGCAAACACGUAAUCAACUGCAUUGAACGGUGUGCCGCCUCCUGCUGCGAUGACAGCUACCACAGGAAGCUCGCCAUCUGCAGCAUCAUCUGUGGCGUGUCCUGCAUCGGAAUCAAGGCUCUGAUCUAUUCAGUCAAGGCGGAGACCACGACAGGUCCAGAGAGAGCAAAGUUUUCAAAACGGGCAAAAAAGUUUGGCAUCAUGUCCAUCGUGAUAUGGGUUAGCGUUCUGGCUUCAAUCCCCAUACUGAUGGCACUGAUCUCUUAUCUCGUCACGCUGCGAGACUGAUCAAGUUUGAUAAACUUCUACAGAAGACAAGCAGAAGAGGGACUUUUGUAUGUUGAUGGGGACAGACAGCGGACAAUACAAAGCUGCUCAUCAACUAAUAAAAGCCACGAAGAUAUGAAGACACGGGAAGCUACACGAAACACAAAAAAGACCCUGUCCCAGUUUACUUUUCUACUUCCUCUUAACCAUU